Molecule: ribosomal RNA, 466 nt
Filed under: uncultured bacterium
Lineage: Bacteria
Description: bacterial SSU rRNA
Rfam family: Bacterial small subunit ribosomal RNA
Source: RNAcentral
UGCCAGACUCCUACGGGAGGCAGCAGUGAGGAAUAUUGGCCAAUGGACGCAAGUCUGAACCAGCCAUGCCGCGUGCAGGAUGACGGCUCUAUGAGUUGUAAACUGCUUUUGUACGAGGGUAAACCCCGAUACGUGUAUCGGGUUGAAAGUAUCGUACGAAUAAGGAUCGGCUAACUCCGUGCCAGCAGCCGCGGUAAUACGUAGGGAGCGAGCGUUAUCCGGAAUUAUUGGGUGUAAAGGGUGCGUAGACGGGUAAAUAAGUUAGUUGUGAAAUCCCUCGGCUCAACUGAGGAACUGCAACUAAAACUGUAUAUCUUGAGUGCGGGAGAGGAAAGUGGAAUUCCUAGUGUAGCGGUGAAAUGCGUAGAUAUUAGGAGGAACACCAGUGGCGAAGGCGACUUUCUGGGCCGUAACUGACGUUGAGGCACGAAAGCGUGGGGAGCAAACAGGAUUAGAUACCCGUGUA